Molecule: transfer RNA, 57 nt
Filed under: Bos taurus (domestic cattle)
Lineage: Eukaryota; Metazoa; Chordata; Mammalia; Artiodactyla; Bovidae
Also listed under: 4 other names
Rfam family: tRNA
About the family: Transfer RNA (tRNA) molecules are approximately 80 nucleotides in length. Their secondary structure includes four short double-helical elements and three loops (D, anti-codon, and T loops). Further hydrogen bonds mediate the characteristic L-shaped molecular structure. tRNAs have two regions of fundamental functional importance: the anti-codon, which is responsible for specific mRNA codon recognition, and the 3' end, to which the tRNAs corresponding amino acid is attached (by aminoacyl-tRNA synthetases). tRNAs cope with the degeneracy of the genetic code in two manners: having more than one tRNA (with a specific anti-codon) for a particular amino acid; and 'wobble' base-pairing, i.e. permitting non-standard base-pairing at the 3rd anti-codon position.
Source: Rfam by way of RNAcentral
UGGCUCAGACAGUAAAGCGUCUGCCUACAAUGCAGGAGACCCAGGUUCGAUUCCUGG